UACAGAGGCCUCGAGCGUUAAUCGGAGUCACUGGGCUUAAAGGGUGCGUAGGCGGCGCUGCAGGUGCCUUGUGAAAUCCCACGGCUCAACCGUGGAAUUGCUCGGCAGACUGCGGUGCUUGAGGUUGGUAGGGGUCGCUGGAACUCUAGGUGGAGCGGUGAAAUGCGUAGAUAUCUAGAGGAACGCCGAAGGUGAAGACAGGCGACUGGGCCAAUUCUGACGCUGAGGCACGAAAGCGUGGGGAGCGAACGGG
RNAcentral lists this ribosomal RNA (253 nucleotides) under uncultured bacterium. Its description in RNAcentral is "partial 16S ribosomal RNA". It matches the Rfam family "Bacterial small subunit ribosomal RNA", at positions 524 to 776 of the family's 1533-position model. The record is from RNAcentral.